AGUGAACGCUGGCGGUAGGCCUAACACAUGCAAGUCGAACGGCAGCACAGUAAGAGCUUGCUCUUACGGGUGGCGAGUGGCGGACGGGUGAGGAAUACAUCGGAAUCUACUUUUUCGUGGGGGAUAACGUAGGGAAACUUACGCUACUACCGCAUACGACCUACGGGUGAAAGCAGGGGAUCUUCGGACCUUGCGCGAUUGAAUGAGCUGAUGUCGGAUUAGCUAGUUGGCGGGGUAAAGGCCCACCAAGGCGACGAUCCGUAGCUGGUCUGAGAGGAUGAUCAGCCACACUGGAACUGAGACACGGUCCAGACUCCUACGGGAGGCAGCAGUGGGGAAUAUUGGACAAUGGGCGCAAGCCUGAUCCAGCCAUACCGCGUGGGUGAAGAAGGCCUUCGGGUUGUAAACCCCUUUUGUUGGGAAAGAGAAGCAGCAGGUUAAUACCCCGCUGUUCUGACGGUACCCAAAGAAUAAGCACCGGCUAACUUCGUG
Molecule: ribosomal RNA, 492 nt
Filed under: uncultured bacterium
Lineage: Bacteria
Description: partial 16S ribosomal RNA
Rfam family: Bacterial small subunit ribosomal RNA
Source: RNAcentral